Molecule: transfer RNA, 84 nt
Filed under: Microthrixaceae bacterium
Lineage: Bacteria; Bacillati; Actinomycetota; Acidimicrobiia; Acidimicrobiales; Microthrixaceae
Also listed under: 1 other name
Description: tRNA-Leu
Rfam family: tRNA
About the family: Transfer RNA (tRNA) molecules are approximately 80 nucleotides in length.
Source: RNAcentral
GCCCGGGUGGCGUAACUGGCAGGCGCAGAGGGCUUAAACCCCUCAGCUCUUCGGAGCGUGCGGGUUCGAAUCCCGCCCCGGGCA